UACAGAGGGUGCGAGCGUUGUUCGGAAUUAUUGGGCGUAAAGGGCGCGUAGGCGGCAGGUCAAGCGUGUGGUGAAAGCCCGGGGCUCAACCCCGGGUCGGCCAUGCGGACUGGCGUGCUUGAGCACUGUAGGGGCGGGUGGAAUUCCGAGUGUAGAGGUGAAAUUCGUAGAUAUUCGGAAGAACACCAGUGGCGAAGGCGACUUACUGGACACAUAUUGACGCUGAGGUGCGAAAGCGUGGGGAGCAAACAGG
RNAcentral lists this ribosomal RNA (253 nucleotides) under uncultured bacterium. RNAcentral describes it as "partial 16S ribosomal RNA". It matches the Rfam family "Bacterial small subunit ribosomal RNA", at positions 524 to 776 of the family's 1533-position model. The record is from RNAcentral.